RNAcentral lists this ribosomal RNA (408 nucleotides) under uncultured bacterium. Its description in RNAcentral is "partial 16S ribosomal RNA". It matches the Rfam family "Bacterial small subunit ribosomal RNA", at positions 28 to 526 of the family's 1533-position model. The record is from RNAcentral.
GACGAACGCUGGCGGCGUGCUUAACACAUGCAAGUCGAACGAAGUGGCGAACGGGUGAGUAACGCGUAAUCAACCUGCCCUUCAGAGGGGGAUAACAGUAGGAAAUGACUGCUAAUACCGCAUACUGAAGGAGGGGAUUGCGUCUGAUUAGCUAGUUGGAGGGGUAACGGCCCACUAAGGCGAUGAUCAGGAGCCGGUCUGGGGAGAGGGACGGCCCAAUUGGGACAGGGACACGGGCCAAUCUCCUACGGGACGCAGCAGUGGGGAAUCUGCCGCAAUGGACGAAAGGCUGACGGAGCAACGCCGCGUGAGGGAUGACAGCCUUCGGGUUGUAAAGCUCUGUUAAUCGGGCAGCGGUACCGAAAUAGAAAGCCACGGCUAACUACGUGCCAGCAGCCGCGGUAAUAC